AUGGCAGGAAACGCAGAUCUUCCGCUUCCUCCACUCCUCUCCAGCCAAAAAUUUCCGCCGAAAACUCAAAUCUUUUCAUCCCCCUCCCUCUCGCUCCCUCCUACCUACCUCCGCUACAAGUACCCAUGGAAGAUCUUCCCAGUCCCAUCCCAAGCUCCAACCCAGCCACCUCGCUGCCUAGGCCUACCCAUCACCGUGCCGGCCGGAUUUCAAGAGAGCCAGGCAGCACUUCUCUUCUCCGAGAUGGCAGUUGACCGCGCCGACAAGGAGAAUCUGGCGCCUGCCACCGCCGCCGUCGCCCGUCCUCAUGGCGUGGCCGUCAAGAGCUGCAAGCUCAAGCGGCUCGGGAGGGCGCGGAGGCGGGCACCGCUCAGGGACAUCACCAACCUCUUCGUUGCGGAGUCCGCGGUCGCCGAGUGGCAGCAGGCCCUGCUCCAGCAGCCGCACGAGGGGUCGCCGGCGGCGGAGCUGGCCGUGAAGAACGGGCCUGCCGGUGGUGCGGUAGCGCCACAUUCCCCUGACAACAAUGCUCCAGCAAGAGAAUGCAAGGAUGUCAAGAUUGACCGAGUCUAUAUUGAUUCGUGCACUGAUGAAAGGAAAGUGUGCUGGUGUUUGCCAACAAAAAUAGUUUCUGAAAGUCUGUUCGCUCUCAAGGGUGAUGAUGAUGCUUUGAAGAUGGUCUAUGUGCCACACAACACAAAGCACCAGACACUUUGA
Molecule: ribosomal RNA, 717 nt
Filed under: Triticum aestivum (bread wheat)
Lineage: Eukaryota; Viridiplantae; Streptophyta; Magnoliopsida; Poales; Poaceae
Description: partial small subunit ribosomal RNA
Source: RNAcentral